Molecule: ribosomal RNA, 347 nt
Filed under: uncultured Rhodoferax sp.
Lineage: Bacteria; Pseudomonadati; Pseudomonadota; Betaproteobacteria; Burkholderiales; Comamonadaceae
Description: bacterial SSU rRNA
Rfam family: Bacterial small subunit ribosomal RNA
Source: RNAcentral
GACAGGUGCUGCAUGGCUGUCGUCAGCUCGUGUCGUGAGAUGUUGGGUUAAGUCCCGCAACGAGCGCAACCCUUGUCAUUAGUUGCUACAUUCAGUUGGGCACUCUAAUGAGACUGCCGGUGACAAGCCGGAGGAAGGUGGGGAUGACGUCAAGUCCUCAUGGCCCUUAUAGGUGGGGCUACACACGUCAUACAAUGGCUGGUACAAAGGGUUGCCAACCCGCGAGGGGGAGCCAAUCCCAUAAAGCCAGUCGUAGUCCGGAUCGUAGUCUGCAACUCGACUACGUGAAGUCGGAAUCGCUAGUAAUCGUGGAUCAGAAUGUCACGGUGAAUACGUUCCCGGGUCUU